CGAUUCGUGGGAAGAGGACGCCGCAAUCCGGCGAGGUGGGAGCGCGAGAUGGGGUCGGCGGUGCUACCGACGCUGCGGCGGAAGCGGGAGGUGGACACCGCCAUUCGCGACACCCUCGACAAGGUCCUCGUCCUCCGAUUCGGCCGCGCCGCCGACGCCGCCUGCCUCCAGCUCGACGACGUUCUUGCAAAAUCUUCUUGGGAUAUAUCCAAGUUUGCGACGAUAGCAUUGGUCGACAUGGAUUCUGAGGAGAUUCAAGUGUACGUUGACUAUUUUGAUAUCACGUUGGUUCCGGCAACCAUUUUUUUCUUCAAUGCUCAUCACAUGAAGAUGGAUUCAGGGACACCUGAUCACACAAAAUGGGUAGGCUCUUUUAGCAGCAAGCAAGACUUCAUUGAUGUAGUGGAGGCAGUAUUUAGGGGUGCGAUGAAAGGCAAACUGAUAGUGUCCUGCCCACUUCCACCAGAGAGGAUACCUAGAUUCCAACUUCUUUUCAAGGAUGUCUGAACACAAGAAGCUCUAAUUAUAAACAGAUUAUGAAUGAUACGAUUUAUGGACUGCAGGAGGAUAUGAAGCUGUGGUUGCAUGAGCUAGGUGGUGAACAAUCAAGAGUUGGCACUUACAUUGGGAACCUAACCAGGACUAAUACAGCCUAAAAUUUAGUGAUUUUGCUGGAAGGCCUAACAUUUAGUUGGUGGAACUCCAACAAGCUAGAAUGCACUCAAACUCGACACCGUAAUCCAUCUUUAUAUUAAUUGAUGGUGCCAGAAUCAAACCACAUGCAUAUGAAUCUGGCUCCUAACAAGAAUCAUAGCACGGGAUGUGUACAACGUAUGACAUGACCUUGUGGCCUUGUGGUCACUCCCCACUCCAUAGUCCAUACCCACGGGCCACGGAUAGCAGCAUAACAAAAAGGUUCGGUACGAUGGGAAAGGCCCGAUCUACUCAUAUCAGAUCUAUCUACGGCUCACAUGUGGCUCCCAGAACGAAAAGGCGCCUCUUUUUCUUUCCCGCACAAACAUUCUUCUCCUUGUCGUUGGCACUAACCACACUACGUGUACUCACGUGCUGUCCCUUUGCUAGCACUUUUCUAGGUGCCACCCGGUGAACCUCUACAAGGCUGCUUGUCCUAUACAUACAUAAGUAGUUCCUUGAGCGAACAGUAUAGGACAUUGCUUUGGACGUACAUAAAAAAGCAUAUUCAAGUGUUUACUUAUGUUUUUUUGCUGGACUAGUAUGGUGUUUCUU
This is an RNA transcript of Lolium rigidum, 1248 nucleotides long. It is a transcript of the gene named thioredoxin-like protein 4B, with no coding region annotated. The record is from RefSeq and is a predicted model, not a curated record. Lineage: Eukaryota; Viridiplantae; Streptophyta; Magnoliopsida; Poales; Poaceae. The transcript has 6 exons.